GGCUCGGUGGCGAAGUAGCUAACGCUGCGGUCUGCAAAACCGUUAUUCGUGGGUGCAAAUCCCACCCGGGCCU
Molecule: transfer RNA, 73 nt
Filed under: Parcubacteria group bacterium
Lineage: Bacteria
Also listed under: 1 other name
Description: tRNA-Cys
Rfam family: tRNA
About the family: Transfer RNA (tRNA) molecules are approximately 80 nucleotides in length.
Source: RNAcentral